UGGGGAAUUUUGGACCAUGGGGGAAACCCUGAUCCAGCCAUCCCGCGUGUGCGAUGAAGGCCUUCGGGUUGUAAAGCACUUUUGGCAGGAAAGAAACGUCAUGGGUUAAUACCCCGUGAAACUGACGGUACCUGCAGAAUAAGCACCGGCUAACUACGUGCCAGCAGCCGCGGUAAUACGGAGGGUGCAAGCGUUAAUCGGAAUUACUGGGCGUAAAGCGUGCGCAGGCGGUUCGGAAAGAAAGAUGUGAAAUCCCAGAGCGCAACUUUGGAACUGCAUUUUUAACUACCGGGCUAGAGUGUGUCAGAGGGAGGUGGAAUUCCGCGUGUAGCAGUGAAAUGCGUAGAUAUGCGGAGGAACACCGAUGGCGAAGGCAGCCUCCUGGGAUAACACUGACGCUAAUGCACGAAAGCGUGGGGAGCAAACAGG
This 429-nucleotide ribosomal RNA is filed under the name Acidobacteriota bacterium. RNAcentral's name for it is "Acidobacteria bacterium partial 16S ribosomal RNA". It matches the Rfam family "Bacterial small subunit ribosomal RNA", at positions 355 to 776 of the family's 1533-position model. Lineage: Bacteria; Pseudomonadati; Acidobacteriota. The record is from RNAcentral.